GAUGAACGCUGGCGGCGUGCCUAAUACAUGCAAGUCGAGCGAACAGAUGAGGAGCUUGCUCCUCUGACGUUAGCGGCGGACGGGUGAGUAACACGUGGAUAACCUACCUCUAAGACUGGGAUAACUUCGGGAAACCGGAGCUAAUACCGGAUAAUAUAUUGAACCGCAUGGAUCAAUAGUGAAAGACGGUUUUGCUGUCACUUAUAGAUGGAUCCGCGCCGCAUUAGCUAGUUGGUAAGGUAACGGCCUACCAAGGCAACGUUGCGUAGCCGACCGGAGAGGGUGAUCGCCACCACUGGAACGGGAACAGGGUCCAGAUCCCUACGGGAGGCAGCAGUAGGGAAUCUGCCGAAAGGGGCGAAAGCCUGUCGGGGCAACGCCGGGUGAGUGAUGAAGGUCUUCGGUUCGUAAAACUCUGUUAUUAGAGAAGAAAACAUGUGUAAGUAACUAUGCACGUCUUGACGGUACCAAAGCAGAAAGCCCCGCCUAACUACGU
This 496-nucleotide ribosomal RNA is filed under the name uncultured bacterium. RNAcentral describes it as "partial 16S ribosomal RNA". It matches the Rfam family "Bacterial small subunit ribosomal RNA", at positions 28 to 506 of the family's 1533-position model. The record is from RNAcentral.